UUGCUCACUUCAACAGCACAUAUACUAAAAUUAGAAGAUAAGUAUGGUUCCUGUGCAAGAAUGACAUACAAAUUUCUGAAGUGUUCCAUAUUUUU
Small nuclear RNA from Balaenoptera musculus (blue whale), 95 nucleotides. The record is from Ensembl. Lineage: Eukaryota; Metazoa; Chordata; Mammalia; Artiodactyla; Balaenopteridae.